Molecule: long non-coding RNA, 307 nt
Filed under: Hordeum vulgare
Lineage: Eukaryota; Viridiplantae; Streptophyta; Magnoliopsida; Poales; Poaceae
Description: long non-coding RNA (HVUL_LNC017937)
Source: RNAcentral
GGCAAUCCCUUGUGGCAGAGCCGCCCUUGAUGUUGGACAAAUCAAACGUGUGGGCGACGGUUCUUCCAUUCAACCUUGAAUGGAAGAUAGAAGAUGUUCCAAGCACUCGGCCUCCAGGUCCCCAGCUUCGCAUUACUCCAAGCACUCGGCCUCCAGGUCCCCCCAGCUUCGCAUUACUCCAAGCACUCGGCCUCCAGGUCCCCAGCUUCGCAUUACUCCAAGCACUCGGCCUCCAGGUCCCUCCGGACUCAAGCUCCAGCAAUAGAAGAUGUUGUCGCCCCUGCAAAAGCCGAAUUCAUGAGACGCA